RNAcentral lists this unclassified non-coding RNA (834 nucleotides) under Hevea brasiliensis (rubber tree). Lineage: Eukaryota; Viridiplantae; Streptophyta; Magnoliopsida; Malpighiales; Euphorbiaceae. The record is from RNAcentral.
GUUGUCACCUAUCAUUGCUAAUUCUCCAUGCAAUACCAAAAUAAUAUAUUGCCCGAUUGUAGUUGCAUUUCAGAUGCACAUUAUAUUUCCACACCAAUUACAUCUGUGAGGAAAUUAAAGAAAUUUUUAUUGAAAAGAAACUUUCAUAGAGGCAAUGAACAACUAGUGUCAACCAAUAGUUCCUGCUCAUUGGACCAUUACAAAUCCCUUCAAGUGGAUGCGCACCAUUUCAUUUCAGUCACAGAUAUCAAAAACAAUCCUCUUCAAACAGAUUCGGGAAUGGACAAAUCCAAGGUGUCUCAAACAUUUUUGUUCGAAAGAAAAAUAGAGACCAAGAUUUGAGAAUUUUUAACUAAUGUUGCUAAUUCUUCAUAGAAAAGAACAAAAAUACUACUUAGAACUUCAUAGUUCUCCCUAUUUCGCCUGAGGGUGUGAAGCUAUAAAGUCAACAGCAAGGUUGACGGAACUGAUCUUAUCUGCUUCGUUAUCUGGGAUCUCAAAGCCAAACUCUUCUUCAAGGGCCAUCACAACCUCCACGCUGUCCAAACUAUCUAACCCAAGAUCAUUUUGGAAAUGGGCAUUUGGUGUGACCUUGGAAGGAUCGACCUUCUGGAAGUUCUUGACGACACUGAUGACACGAUCCGUGACCUCGGAUUUGUCGAGGAAGGAGCCCCUCACCUCCUCAGAGAAACGGCGAAAUAUUGCAUUGAAUGAAAGGGCAGAGAGGCCGGUAUUGAGUCUAGGGUUUUGAGGUACGGUCUCAACAUUAACUCUAAAGUACUUUAGCAAAGCUCCUCUCGCCGCCAUUUCAGUGCUUCCCUAGCUGCCUCUCUA